Molecule: ribosomal RNA, 497 nt
Filed under: uncultured bacterium
Lineage: Bacteria
Description: partial 16S ribosomal RNA
Rfam family: Bacterial small subunit ribosomal RNA
Source: RNAcentral
GAUGAACGCUGGCGGCGUGCCUAAUACAUGCAAGUCGAGCGAACAGACGAGGAGCUUGCUCCUCUGACGUUAGCGGCGGACGGGUGAGUAACACGUGGAUAACCUACCUAUAAGACUGGGAUAACUUCGGGAAACCGGAGCUAAUACCGGAUAAUAUAUUGAACCGCAUGGUUCAAUAGUGAAAGACGGUUUUGCUGUCACUUAUAGAUGGAUCCGCGCCGCAUUAGCUAGUUGGUAAGGUAACGGCUUACCAAGGCGACGAUGCGUAGCCGACCUGAGAGGGUGAUCGGCCACACUGGAAGUGAGACACGGUCCAGACUCCUACGGGAGGCAGCAGUAGGGAAUCUUCCGCAAGGGGCGAAAGCCUGACGGAGCAACGCCGCGUGAGUGAUGAAGGUCUUCGGAUCGUAAAACUAUGUUAUUAGGGAAGAACAAAUGUGUAAGUAACUAUGCACGUCUUGACGGUACCUAAUCAGAAAGCCACGGCUAACUACGUG